UUCACAGCUAGAAUCUCCUAUGAUAUGGCUAUAGUAUAUAGUUCAAUGUAAUCAAACUCUAGACCUAGACUCUAAGACUCUCUACGAUUGGACUGGACUUUAGACACUAUGCGACUCUUCUAAUAUACAAUAGACUCGAUACAAUCUAGACUCUAAGACACUCUAUGACUGACUAAGGGUUGGUGGAUCCUAGACACUCUAGAAUCU
This 207-nucleotide long non-coding RNA is filed under the name Elaeis guineensis (African oil palm). RNAcentral describes it as "long non-coding RNA (EGUI_LNC074956)". Lineage: Eukaryota; Viridiplantae; Streptophyta; Magnoliopsida; Arecales; Arecaceae. The record is from RNAcentral.